Molecule: ribosomal RNA, 271 nt
Filed under: uncultured archaeon
Lineage: Archaea
Description: partial 16S ribosomal RNA
Rfam family: Archaeal small subunit ribosomal RNA
Source: RNAcentral
CAGCGCCACAAGUGGCAAUCACGUUUAUUGGGCCUAAAGCGUCCGUAGCCGGUUUAGCAAAUCUUUUGUGAAAUCGUCAGGCUUAACUUGACGAAUUGCAGAAGACACUACUAAACUAGGGACUGGGAGGAGUCAGAAGUAUUCUGGGGGGACCGGUAAAAUGGUAUAAUCCCCAGAGGACUACCGAUGGCGAAGGCAUCUGACCAGAACAGACCCGACGGUGAGGGACGAAAGCCAGGGGAGCAAACCGGAUUAGAUACCCGAGUAGUCC